GGGAAUAUUGCACAAUGGGCGCAAGCCUGAUGCAGCCAUGCCGCGUGUAUGAAGAAGGCCUUCGGGUUGUAAAGUACUUUCAGCGGGGAGGAAGGCGUUGUGGUUAAUAACCACAGUGAUUGACGUUACCCGCAGAAGAAGCACCGGCUAACUCCGUGCCAGCAGCCGCGGUAAUACGGAGGGUGCAAGCGUUAAUCGGAAUUACUGGGCGUA
This 213-nucleotide ribosomal RNA is filed under the name Enterobacter sichuanensis. RNAcentral's name for it is "partial 16S ribosomal RNA". It matches the Rfam family "Bacterial small subunit ribosomal RNA", at positions 357 to 562 of the family's 1533-position model. Lineage: Bacteria; Pseudomonadati; Pseudomonadota; Gammaproteobacteria; Enterobacterales; Enterobacteriaceae. The record is from RNAcentral.